RNAcentral lists this ribosomal RNA (460 nucleotides) under uncultured bacterium. RNAcentral's name for it is "partial 16S ribosomal RNA". It matches the Rfam family "Bacterial small subunit ribosomal RNA", at positions 338 to 795 of the family's 1533-position model. The record is from RNAcentral.
CCUACGGGUGGCAGCAGUGAGGAAUAUUGGUCAAUGGGCGAGAGCCUGAACCAGCCAAGUCGCGUGAGGGAAGACAGUCCUAUGGAUUGUAAACCUCUUUUAUAAGGGAGUAAAACAAGACACGUGUGCCUUUAUGCAAGUACUCGAUGAACAAGGAUCGGCUAACUCCGUGCCAGCAGCCGCGGUAAUACGGAGGAUGCGAGCGUUAUCCGGAUUUAUUGGGUUUAAAGGGUGCGUAGGUGGGUUGUUAAGUCAGGUGUGAAAGUGUGGGGCUCAACCGUUAGAGUGCCAUUGAUACUGGUAGUCUUGAGUAAAGUAGAGGUAGGCGGAAUUCGUGGUGUAGCGGUGAAAUGCUUAGAUAUCACGAAGAACUCCGAUUGCGAAGGCAGCUUACUGGACUGCAACUGACACUGAUGCUCGAAAGUGUGGGUAUCAAACAGGAUUAGAUACCCGUGUAGUC